Molecule: ribosomal RNA, 497 nt
Filed under: uncultured bacterium
Lineage: Bacteria
Description: bacterial SSU rRNA
Rfam family: Bacterial small subunit ribosomal RNA
Source: RNAcentral
AUUGAACGCUGGCGGCAUGCCUUACACAUGCAAGUCGAACGGUAGCGCGGGGCAACCUGGCGACGAGUGGCGAACGGGUGAGUAAAGCAUCGGAACGUGCCCUGGAAUGGGGGAUAACGUAGCGAAAGUUACGCUAAUACCGCAUAUUCUGUGAGCAGGAAAGCAGGGGAUCGCAAGACCUUGCGUUCUGGGAGCGGCCGAUGUCGGAUUAGCUAGUUGGUGGGGUAAAAGCCUACCAAGGCGACGAUCCGUAGCGGGUCUGAGAGGAUGAUCCGCCACACUGGGACUGAGACACGGCCCAGACUCCUACGGGAGGCAGCAGUGGGGAAUUUUGGACAAUGGGCGGAAGCCUGAUCCAGCCAUGCCGCGUGAGUGAAGAAAGCCUUCGGGUUGUAAAGCUCUUUCGGUGGGGAAGAAUUGCACGGGUUAAUACCCUGUGUAGAUGACGGUACCCGACUAAGAAGCACCGGCUAACUACGUGCCAGCAGCCGCGGUAA